GACGAACGCUGUGCGGCGUGCUUAACACAUGCAAGUCGAACGGAAAGGCCCUGCUUUUGUGGGGUGCUCGAGUGGCGAACGGGUGAGUAACACGUGAGUAACCUGCCCUUGACUUUGGGAUAACUUCAGGAAACUGGGGCUAAUACCGGAUAGGAGCUCCUGCUGCAUGGUGGGGGUUGGAGAGUUUCGGCGGUUGGGGAUGGACUCGCGGCUUAUCAGCUUGUUGGUGGGGUAGUGGCUCACCAAGGCUUUGACGGGUAGCCGGCCUGAGAGGGUGGCCGGCCACAUUGGGACUGAGAUACGGCCCAGACUCCUACGGGAGGCAGCAGUGGGGAAUAUUGCACAAUGGGCGGAAGCCUGAUGCAGCAACGCCGCGUGCGGGAUGACGGCCUUCGGGUUGUAAACCGCUUUCGCCUGUGACGAAGCGUGAGUGACGGUAAUGGGUAAAGAAGCACCGGCUAACUACGUGCCAGCAGCCGCGGUGAUACGUAGGGUGCGAGCGUUGUCCGGAUUUAUUGGGCGUAAAGGGCUCGUAGGUGGUUGAUCGCGUCGGAAGUGUAAUCUUGGGGCUUAACCCUGAGCGUGCUUUCGAUACGGGUUGACUUGAGGAAGGUAGGGGAGAAUGGAAUUCCUGGUGGAGCGGUGGAAUGCGCAGAUAUCAGGAGGAACACCAGUGGCGAAGGCGGUUCUCUGGGCCUUUCCUGACGCUGAGGAGCGAAAGCGUGGGGAGCGAACAGGCUUAGAUACCCUGGUAGUCCACGCUGUAAACGGUGGGUACUAGGUGUGGGGUCCAUUCCACGGGUUCCGUGCCGUAGCUAACGCUUUAAGUACCCCGCCUGGGGAGUACGGCCGCAAGGCUAAAACUCAAAGGAAUUGACGGGGCCCCGCACAAGCGGCGGAGCAUGCGGAUUAAUUCGAUGCAACGCGUAGAACCUUACCUGGGUUUGACAUGGAUCGGGAGUGCUCAGAGAUGGGUGUGCCUCUUUUGGGGUCGGUUCACAGGUGGUGCAUGGCUGUCGUCAGCUCGUGUCGUGAGAUGUUGGGUUAAGUCCCGCAACGAGCGCAACCCUUGUUCACUGUUGCCAGCACGUUAUGGUGGGGACUCAGUGGAGACCGCCGGGGUCAACUCGGAGGAAGGUGGGGAUGACGUCAAGUCAUCAUGCCCCUUAUGUCCAGGGCUUCACGCAUGCUACAAUGGCUGGUACAGAGAGUGGCGAGCCUGUGAGGGUGAGCGAAUCUCGGAAAGCCGGUCUCAGUUCGGAUUGGGGUCUGCAACUCGACCUCAUGAAGUCGGAGUCGCUAGUAAUCGCAGAUCAGCAACGCUGCGGUGAAUACGUUCCCGGGGCA
RNAcentral lists this ribosomal RNA (1347 nucleotides) under uncultured bacterium. RNAcentral describes it as "partial 16S ribosomal RNA". It matches the Rfam family "Bacterial small subunit ribosomal RNA", at positions 28 to 1381 of the family's 1533-position model. The record is from RNAcentral.